RNAcentral lists this ribosomal RNA (518 nucleotides) under uncultured bacterium. RNAcentral's name for it is "bacterial SSU rRNA". It matches the Rfam family "Bacterial small subunit ribosomal RNA", at positions 8 to 518 of the family's 1533-position model. The record is from RNAcentral.
AGAGUUGAUCCUGGCUUAGGAUGAACGCUAGCUACAGGCUUAACACAUGCAAGUCGAGGGGCAGCAUUGGAGUAGCAAUACGUCAGACUGGCGACGGCGCACGGGUGAGUAACACGUAUCCAACCUGCCGCUUACUCGGGGACAGCCUUUCGAAAGAAAGAUUAAUACCCGAUGGUAUAAAGAGUUCGCAUGUUCUCUUUAUUAAAGAAUUUCGGUAAGCGAUGGGGAUGCGUUCCAUUAGAUAGUUGGCGGGGUAACGGCCCACCAAGUCUACGAUGGAUAGGGGUUCUGAGAGGAAGGUCCCCCACAUUGGGAACUGAGACACGGUCCAAACUCCUACGGGAGGCAGCAGUGAGGAAUAUUGGUCAAUGGACGAGAGUCUGAACCAGCCAAGUAGCGUGAAGGAUGACUGCCCUAUGGGUUGUAAACUUCUUUUAUAAGGGAAUAAAGUGAGGGACGUGUCCCUUUUUGUAUGUACCUUAUGAAUAAGGAUCGGCUAACUCCGUGCCAGCAGCUGC